UACGGAGGGGGCUAGCGUUGCUCGGAAUCACUGGGCGUAAAGGGUGCGUAGGCGGGUCUUUAAGUCAGGGGUGAAAUCCUGGAGCUCAACUCCAGAACUGCCUUUGAUACUGAGGAUCUUGAGUUCGGAAGAGGUGGGUGGAAUUCCUAGUGUAGAGGUGAAAUUCGUAGAUAUUAGGAAGAACACCGGUGGCGAAGGCGGCCCACUGGACUGGUAUUGACGCUGAGGUGCGAAAGCGUGGGGAGCAAACAGG
RNAcentral lists this ribosomal RNA (253 nucleotides) under uncultured bacterium. RNAcentral's name for it is "partial 16S ribosomal RNA". It matches the Rfam family "Bacterial small subunit ribosomal RNA", at positions 524 to 776 of the family's 1533-position model. The record is from RNAcentral.